This 613-nucleotide ribosomal RNA is filed under the name uncultured cyanobacterium. RNAcentral describes it as "bacterial SSU rRNA". It matches the Rfam family "Bacterial small subunit ribosomal RNA", at positions 123 to 770 of the family's 1533-position model. The record is from RNAcentral. Lineage: Bacteria; Bacillati; Cyanobacteriota.
GAUCUGCCUACAGGACCGGGACAACAGUGGCAAUCUGCUGCUAUAACCGGAUGUGCCGAGAGGUGAAAUAUUAAUAGCCUGUAGAUGAACUCGCGUCUGAUUAGCUAGUUGGUGUGGUAAAGGCAUACCAAGGCGACGAUCAGUAGCUGGUCUGAGAGGACGAUCAGCCACACUGGGACUGAGACACGGCCCAGACUGCUACGGGAGGCAGCAGUGGGGAAUUAUCCGCAAUGGGCGAAAGCCUGACGGAGCAACGCCGCGUGAGGGAAGAAGGCCUGUGGGUUGUAAACCUCUUUUCUCAAGGAAGAUGUUCUGACGGUACUUGAAGAAUCAGCAUCGGCUAACUCCGUGCCAGCAGCCGCGGUAAGACGGAGGAUGCAAGCGUUAUCCGGAAUUAAUGGGCGUAAAGCUCCGUAGGCGGUUUCAAAAGUCUGUUGUUAAAUCCCACAGCUCAACUGUGGAUCGGCAAUGGAAACUGUGAGACUAGAGAGUGGUAGGGGUAGAGGGAAUUCCUAGUGUAGCGGUGAAAUGCGUAGAUAUUAGGAAGAACACCAGUGGCGAAGGCGCUCUACUGGGCCAUUACUGACGCUGAUGGACGAAAGCUAGGCGAGCG